Molecule: ribosomal RNA, 542 nt
Filed under: uncultured bacterium
Lineage: Bacteria
Description: bacterial SSU rRNA
Rfam family: Bacterial small subunit ribosomal RNA
Source: RNAcentral
GNANUGGGCGAAGCCUGAUGCAGCGACGCCGCGUGGGGGAUGAAGCUUUUCGGAGUGUAAACCCCUUUCGCCUGGGACGAAUGCCCGCAAGGGAGUGACGGUACCAGGAUAAGAAGCCCCGGCUAACUACGUGCCAGCAGCCGCGGUAAGACGUAGGGGGCCAGCGUUGUUCGGAAUUACUGGGUGUAAAGGGUUCGUAGGCGGUGUGGCAAGUUGGGAGUGAAAUCUCUGGGCUCAACCCAGAGGCUGCUUCCAAAACUGCUGUGCUUGAGUGUGAGAGAGGCUCGUGGAAUUGCAGGUGUAGCGGUGAAAUGCGUAGAUAUCUGCAGGAACACCCGUGGCGAAAGCGGCGAGCUGGAUCAUUACUGACGCUGAGGAACGAAAGCUAGGGGAGCAAACAGGAUUAGAUACCCUGGUAGUCCUAGCCCUAAACGAUCAGGACUUGGGGUGCCGCCCGUUCGGGCGUCGUCCCGGAGCUAACGCGUUAAGUCCUGCACCUGGGGAGUACGGUCGCAAGACUGAAACUCAAAGAAAUUGACGGA